CCCUACUCUCUGUGCCUUUUAUUCUGUAACAGCUACAAGCAAAUAUCUGUAGGCCUAACACAUGUUAAAAAAGUCAAAACAUGUUUGUUUUUUUAUUUUGAGGAGCUUUUAAAUUACAGCUGUGCAGAAAAUGUGCUGUCUGUCACGGACCCGGCUCUGGAGGACUCGGGGGUCCGUGAGCAGUUAUGGACUGUUGUUAUUAUUAUUAUUAUUAAGGGGCUGUGUCGUCUACUGUUCGGUCCACAGUUGAAUGUGUAGUGUGUGUUUGCGUGUGGGUUUGCUUCUCCCUCUCUCUCCCCAGUCCUCGGGCUGUUUACAGAAGUGCACGCCGUGGGAGAGGCGUGUCCUGGCGACUGUCGUCAUUGGGAGUCCCUCUUCACUGUUACCGGCCCACCUGCAGCUGAUUACCUGACCAGCUGUUGGUAAUCAUCCAUCCCGGCUGGAGAGAGGUAUUUAACCUGGACUCGCGGCGACAGUCGACGUGGGAUUAUUACUCCGAACUGGUAUAGUCCGUGCGAGCAGCGUGAGCGUGUUAAUCGGCUAGCGUGUGGCUAAUUGUGGACUUUCCUUCUUCCUCCAGGAUAGCCGAGCGGAGAAGCGAGUUGGGGAGCACACGCACUAAGGGAGCUAUAGCACGGGACGCACUGGGAGCAGGAGACGAGCACCAUUGGCAAAUUGCACCUUUGGGUUAAUUGUUGGACUUACCUGUCUGUUCACUGUAAAUAAAGUGCACUGUGGCAUCGAAGAGUCCCGCGUUUUGGGUCCUACUUUCCUCGUCCCCACGGUCUGCGUGGCAGACCGUGACAGAAUAAUCCCACCAACCACCAUGGACCCAGCAGACUCAAGAGUUGCCACGGAGGAGGGAUCGCUCACACAGCUGUGGGGUUACUGCCAGAGCGUAACCCAGGCUGUGGAUCCACACAUGAGACACAUACAGGUAGUGUUUUUUGAUAAUUAUCUUUCCUCCACUACCUUCUCUACGAGCUUUCUGGAUAUUGACAAACUCAUUCAAAUUGUAACUGAGCUGCGGGCAAGCUCCAGCUUCGAACUGUUUGGUUUGGGCUGUCCGGGCAAGGAGGAUGCGGCUGCCUCCCUGGCAGCCCUUGCUGCUUGGUGUUUUCUUCAUAGGCGGAGAGUUUUUCCACCGCCGCUUGCUGCUCACCUAUUGGACCCUCCACUGCAGGGAAGACGGCGCCCUACUCCAUCUCCUCUCAUUCCUUCGAUGUCCUCUGUGUCGGCAGACAAAGGAUCGGCAGCGCUGGUAAGCACAGUGAGUAAACCGGACUCUGUCACCUUACUUAAUCCAGUCUCUCACGAGCAGGAGGGGACAGAUUCCUUUGACGCGGCCCCGCCAUCACGAAAGAGACGGCGUCGGCGUCGUCUUCAUCAAACCGAAGCUCACCUCACUCCGGUUGUUUCGGAAGAACCAGCUGACUCAGGGCUAGCCGCGGGACUAGCCGCACAAGGAGCCGCAGUGAGUGAAACGGACUCUGUUGUUGGUAAAGAUGUUUUUGUUAUGAAAACAGAGAGGGCUUCGUUUAAACCAAGGGACAGUGCACAAUCAGUUAAUAAUAAAACCGGGAUCGCAAUGGGGAAUAAGCUUAGAAGGUCUGCAUUGCCAGAAAGUGGAGGUGGGCCAGAAGCUAUUCCUGGGUCAUUUAGUAAUGUAAGGAGUAGUGCUGAUUGUUUUUCUGGUGCGGGAUACGGAGCCUUCGUUUGUGAGCCAGUUGGCUCUAAAACAGUGAACACUGAAGGCGCUGGGGUGGCAGCCAAAUGGACUGAAGCCGUUAAUUCUGAGUUACUGCACUGUGCUAAUAGGCAUCCUGACACUGUUUUUGUGGCUGCUGACUUGUUAAAGGACCCAGUGCUGGAAAAUAAUGCUGCCACUACAGGCAAUCGGGAGGCUGGGGUUCCCCCCAGGGCUUCCCCAGAGGCCGAACUGGAAGCCUCAGUCGCCUCUGGCCCCCUGGACGUUGCAGAGGCAGCGGUAACAUUGUCUUCCUCUCAGCCCUUCAUGUUAGCCAUAUCACCCUCUACUCAGUCUGCCGCCCAGCUAGUCACUCAGUUGUCAUCUGUUUCAGCAUCCACAUCACCCGCUCGACCAUCAUCUUCGCCACCUGCAGCUACCGCAUCACCAUCUUCACCUCCGGAUCAACCAUCUAUAGCCGCUCCGCAGCCAGAGGAGGAGCUCAGCGAGCGGGGGGAGCCCGCGUCGCAGCCGGAGGAGGAGCUCAGCGAGCGGGGGGAGCCCGCGUCGCAGCCGGAGGAGGAGCUCAGCGAGCGGGGGGAGCCCGCGUCGCAGCCGGAGGAGGAGCUCAGCGAGCGGGGGGAGCCCGCGUCGCCAGCUGUGGAGCGCGUCGCAGCCGGAGGAGGAGCUCAGCGAGCGGGGGGAGCCCGCGUCGCCAGCUGUGGAGCGCGUCGCAGCCGGAGGAGGAGCUCAGCGAGCGGGGGGAGCCCGCCUCGCCGACUGUGGAGCUCAGCGAGCCGGGGGAGCUCAGCGAGCCGGGGGAGCUCAGCGAGCGGGGGGAGCCCGCGUCGCAGCCGGAGGAGGAGCUCAGCGAGCAGGAGGAGCCCGCCUCGCCGACUGUGGAGCUCAGCGAGCGGGAGGAGCCCGCCUCGCCGACUGUGGAGCUCAGCGAGCCGGCGGAGCUCAGCGAGCGGAGGGAGCCCGCACCACCUGAGGAGGAGCUCUGUGAGCCGGAGCCGGAAUUCGGCGAGCGGGAGGAGCGGCUACCGUCAAGAGAGGGGCCCGGCGGGCCGGAGAAGCGCGCACCGCCUGAGCUGGAGCUGCAGGGGCCGGAGCUGCAGCAGAGGCGAGCAGGAGCUCGGCGAGCAAGAGGAGUGCCCGCCAUCGAGAGAGGGGCUCGGCAGGCCGGAGGAGCGCGCACAGCCAUCGGAGGUCGGCGGGCGGGAGGAAUCCGAUCAGUCUACGCGGGGGGUCAGUGUGCAGGGUCCACGUCCAGCGCGCCCUCCACGCCGUCCACGUCCAGCGCGCCCUCCACGCCGUCCACGUCCAGCGCGCCGGGCGUCAUGGGCUGUUCUACUCUGUCGCCCGCCAGAGCUGCAACACUGCUGCUACCGGAUCCGUGGCCGCCCGCCGGAGCUGCAGCGCCGCAACCACUGGACGCCUGGCAGGCCACCAGAGAUGCAGCACCGCCGCCACUGGAUCAGUGGCAGGCCCCCAGAACUGUUUCGUCGCUGCUGCUGGACCCAUGGCCGUCCGCCGGAGAUCCAGCGUUUCCACCGAUGGACUGAAGGUAGGCCUCCUGAACGGUCGUCGGCCUCUGCCUAUCCAUAGCAGGUUUCACCUGUUUUGCUGUCCACCGGGUCAGCCGCCAGAACUAUGUUUGCUGCCAUUAGGGCGGGGGGUUGGCCUGAUGAACUGAGUUUUUUCGUUUUUGUUGUUUAGUGGUGUGGUUCGGAGGGGUUUUGGGGCCCUCCGUCCUGGCCCCCCGCCGCCCGCCCUGGGGUGGUUUUCCUGUUUUUUGCUUUUUGUUUCGGGUCGUCGGGAGCCGACCCUUAGGGGGGGUACUGUCACGGACCCGGCUCUGGAGGACUCGGGGGUCCGUGAGCAGUUAUGGACUGUUGUUGUUAUUAUUAUUAUUAAGGGGCUGUGUCGUCUACUGUUCGGCCCACAGUUGAAUGUGUAGUGUGUGUUUGCGUGUGGGUUUGCUUCUCCCUCUCUCUCCCCGGUCCUCGGGCUGUUUACAGAAGUGCACGCUGUGGGAGAGGCGUGUCCUGGCGACUGUCGUCAUUGGGAGUCCCUCUUCACUGUUACCGGCCCACCUGCAGCUGAUUACCUGACCAGCUGUUGGUAAUCAUCCAUCCCGGCUGGAGAGAGGUAUUUAACCUGGACUCGCGGCGACAGUCGACGUGGGAUUAUUACUCCGAACUGGAUAGCCGAGCGGAGAAGCGAGUUGGGGAGCACACGCACUAAGGGAGCUAUAGCACGGGACGCACUGGGAGCAGGAGACGAGCACCAUUGGCAAAUUGCACCUUUGGGUUAAUUGUUGGACUUACCUGUCUGUUCACUGUAAAUAAAGUGCACUGUGGCAUCGAAGAGUCCCGCGUUUUGGGUCCUACUUUCCUCGUCCCCACGGUCUGCGUGGCAGAGUGACACUGUCGGCCUAUUAAUUUUUUAUUUUGC
Oreochromis aureus is the source of this 4147-nucleotide long non-coding RNA. NCBI's taxonomy places the organism in Eukaryota, Metazoa, Chordata, Actinopteri, Cichliformes, Cichlidae. The record is from Ensembl.